This 222-nucleotide long non-coding RNA is filed under the name Linum usitatissimum (flax). Its description in RNAcentral is "long non-coding RNA (LUSI_LNC005748)". Lineage: Eukaryota; Viridiplantae; Streptophyta; Magnoliopsida; Malpighiales; Linaceae. The record is from RNAcentral.
GGAACAACUCGCACAUAGCCAAAAAGCCUUGUAAUGUCCCCCCAUCAUAUCGUAUCCCCUUUCUUUCAAGUCUUCAUUUAAUCAUGUGUACAUAAGUGGUAUGUAACUCGAUCAGUUCUAGGAGUCAAUAAAGUUGCUAAGUUGAGUAAUUGCAGGAUUAUCUAGUCUCGCUAAGUAGUAAUUUGUAUACCGUUUUUGUUUAUUAAAAAAAAGAAGAAAAAC